CAGGGAUUGCCUCAGUAACGGCGAGUGAAGCGGCAACAGCUCAAAUUUGAAAUCUGGCCCUAGGCCCGAGUUGUAAUUUGCAGAGGAUGCUUUUGGUGCGGUGCCUUCCAAGUUCCCUAGAACGGGACGCCAGAGAGGGUGAGAGCCCCGUACAGUUGGACACCAAGCCUUUGUAAAGCUCCUUCGACGAGUCGAGUAGUUUGGGAAUGCUGCUCAAAAUGGGAGGUAUAUUUCUUCUAAAGCUAAAUACCGGCCAGAGACCGAUAGCGCACAAGUAGAGUGAUCGAAAGAUGAAAAGCACUUUGAAAAGAGGGUUAAACAGCACGUGAAAUUGUUAAAAGGGAAGCGCUUGUGACCAGACUUGCGUCCGGUGAAUCACCCAGCUCUCGCGGCUGGGGCACUUCGCCGGCUCAGGCCAGCAUCAGCUCGCUGUCGGGGACAAAAGCUUCAGGAACGUAGCUCUCUUCGGGGAGUGUUAUAGCCUGUUGCAUAAUACCCUUCGGCGGGCUGAGGUACGCGCUCCGCAAGGAUGCUGGCAUAAUGGUCAUCAGCGACCCGUCUUGAAACACGGACCAAGGAGUCAACCUUAUGUGCGAGUGUUCGGGUGUCAAACCCCUACGCGUAAUGAAAGUGAACGCAGGUGAGAGCUUCGGCGCAUCAUCGACCGAUCCUGAUGUUCUCGGAUGGAUUUGAGUAAGAGCAUAUAGGGUUGGACCCGAAAGAAGGUGAACUAUGCGUGUAUAGGGUGAAGCCAGAGGAAACUCUGGUGGAGGCUCGCAGCGGUUCUGACGUGCAAAUCGAUCGUCAAAUAUGCGCAUGGGGGCGAAAGACUAAUCGA
RNAcentral lists this ribosomal RNA (838 nucleotides) under Colletotrichum sp. PP117. RNAcentral's name for it is "eukaryotic LSU rRNA". It matches the Rfam family "Eukaryotic large subunit ribosomal RNA", at positions 69 to 938 of the family's 3401-position model. Lineage: Eukaryota; Fungi; Ascomycota; Sordariomycetes; Glomerellales; Glomerellaceae. The record is from RNAcentral.